AUUCUGAUCAGUACUGGUUAUUACCAAUUAUUUUAACCUUUUGCAAAUCAUAUGAAGGAAUAAUAGUAUUUCCUAUUUGCUUUAAUAUAUCUUUUUAAAUUUAUUUCUAAGGUUGAGCAUCUUUAAAAUGUUUCCCAGGUAUUUUGUCUCAUUAGCUCUGCAUGCACCUUACCCAUUUUUCUGUCUUUGGAUUCAUCUUUUCUUACUGAUUUCUAAGCACUCCAUGCCUGUUUAAGGUCAUCUGUCCUUUAUCAGAUGUGUUGCUGAAACUAUUUCUGGCUUCCUUUCUGCUUUUGCUCAUCCGAUAGCUGAAAUUCACGGAUACCAUUAACGAUUAUCUUUUACUCUGCUCAUGUUUGGUUCUCCUGAAUGAUACUCAGUUAGUUUAUGUGGUUACCUAACUAUGUCAGUAAUCCCAGCCAAGCUUGCCCUUAAUUCUUUCAGCCCCAGAUGGUGACUGUCCUGAAAAUCUGUGACAGACUUGAGCUCCCAGAAGGGACACGAACACGGUUUCUCGCCCUACCCAGAAAUAGGAAUUUCCUGAGCCCACAGACACACUGUCCUUCUCUAAUCCUGUGCCAUCUCAUAGAAGAGGCGCAUGUCUGCGUUCUCUGUUCUCUUAGAAAACCGAGUCUUACACAGAAGAGAAUGAAUUCCCACAUGUGACUGGGAGGAAAUGAAGAUGAUCAGGCCCACAGUGAUGGGUCGGGUAAAACAGGACAUCCCGAGAGGACGUCUUGCAUACUAGUCAGAGCAUCUCAGUCCAACCUUGGCAGGUUUAUCAAAUGCCUGGAUGGUCCCAGGCCCAGAGUGGCUUCUACUCGGCUGCUCUCGUGCACCAGUGCCAUGAGGUGCCAGCCGGCACAGCUGCUCACCACCAUGGUCCAAUCUCCCUGGUCACCUUUCCAGAAUUCACAGCUGCUCCCAGGGGUUGCCUCGUACACAGUAACUUUUAAAUUACUUAAUUAAGUUAAAAAUAAUUGUAUUGCAUUGUGAACUGAUACUGCAUUGAAAUGACAGGUUUUAUUCAGAAAAAAAUGACAUGUGGGCGACUGAGUCUUUCUAAGAGCAACAUUUUACUCUGUGAGUUUUUCUCUUUUCUCAAUAGAACCUUUUUGUGUCCUUUAAAAAGUUCUUCACAUAAAUCCAGAAUAUCUUUUGUAACUUGACUCCUAGAUAUUUCAUGAUCUCCCUUCCUAUGUGAGUCACAUUUUUCUCUCAUGCUGUUUUAGAAUCAGCUACUAUUUGCAUAGAGCAAGCUAUUGAUUUUUAUAACAGUUUGCCUUACGGGUUUGCAUUUUUUGUGGUUACUUCUCAGUGGUUUUUCAAAUAAAAUUGUAAAUCUGUAAUAAUUACCAGAUAACCUCCUUGAUCCUGAUGCAUAGGCCUGCUAUUUUCUCCUCUCACUGAAUUGCACUGACUACUGAUGGAUCAUCUAAUCCAACCCACGCACUUUGCAGAGGAAGACGCUGUGGCCGAACAAGACAGGACUUGGUUAAGAAUUUCUGUUCAUGCAUUAAGUACAGAUUGUAGUUACAGCCCAGAUGCCCAGGGAAUCCAAAUGAGUCUGUAUCCAGGGAAGGAACAGAGAGAACUUCAAUGACACAAAAACUUGAUGCCUCUGUGACUGUUGGCCUGGAACCUACCAUGCUUUUAAGGUCCAAAAUUUAGAUGAUUUACCUCAUGACAGGAUUUCUGUAUGACAAGUCAGAGCCAGAGGAAAUUUACUUUGGAUCUAAGAAUUUGGGGUACUGCUGUUUAUCAGCCCUGAGAGAAAUCUUUGCAGGAUGUAGGGAAGGUGAGAAAAAUUGUCAAGUGUAAGGAUGGUUGACAUUCUUAAGGAAAGAAAACAGAAAUGAAGGGAGGGACGGAAGCAGGGAGAGAGAAGGAGAGAGAGAGAUCACGUGAAUGUCUCACACAAUUGCCCUUGUGUUUUGGGGCCUUAAAAGUUGGGUCGGUCUUUGCCUGCGAGGCAGCCCCACAAAAAUGGCCACGCGAUGGCCCAGCUCAGCGCUUCUGCUCUCCUCUGUCCAAUGAGAAGGCAAAGUACUGGCGGCUCCCCCUGAAGCCCACAGACUGGCGUACUGAGGCCUAAGCUUGCUAACACCAUUCUGACUGGACAGUCCUGCUGAACGAGCCCUUCUCGCCAGAAAACUAGGAUUCCCUCCUUGCCAUCAUGAACCAGGCGAUGUCCUGCUAUCUGGUGACCUACAUGCUGGGUCUGUUUAUUCUUUUUCUCCACAUUGUUGAGGGGGAGAAAGCUAAAGAUGAUCAGGCCGACGUCGAUGUGUCGGAUAGAGCAGGGGAUCCUGGGGAGGACAGAUGGGCUGCUCUGUGUCCUCAUCAGGGCACCUCGGUCCUAACCUAGGCAGGUACCCCACCCUGGUCCCAGGCCUGGAGUGGCUUCUACUCGGCUUCUCUCGUGCACCAGUGCCAUGAGGUGCCAGCUGGCACAGCUGCUCGCCACCAUGGUCCAAUCUCCCUGGUCACCGUUCCAGGAUUCACAGCUACUCCCAGGGGUUGCCUCGUGAACAGGAACUUUUAAAUUACUUAAUCAAGUUAAAAAUAAUUGUAUUGCUUUGUGAACUGAUACUGCAUUGAAAUGACAGGUUUAUCUCAGAAAAAAAUGACAUACAGACGAUUGAGUCUUUCAAUCGUAUGAACCAGACAGAGUUGCUUUAGCCUAAAAAUAGGAAACACUCUUCAGAAGCCACAGAGACGUGGAGUGCACCUCUCUUCUCUGUGCCACCUUCCCCUGCCUUCCAUGCUGCCCUGGAGCAUCCCCUUCUCUGCUCGGAAGCCUCAGGACACUGCCAUCACAUGGGGAUCUGAGUCCCUCAGACUGGCUGUCAGUCUGGAGAGCACGCCGCCGUGCCAACGUCUCAUUCCAGUGAGAACCCGGGGCAUCCUUUCAGGCUCCCAAUGUUCUACUGUAGGUCAAUUUAAAUGAGACAUGUCAUCUCCCAUGUGUAAUCGGUGGCUUGUGGUCUGCAGUGCAGCUAUAACUCUGAAGGUGAGCAGCAACAUGCCCAGGGCUGCAGGCUGGGCACCAGCCCCCACCGUGUGCUCAGCAAUUUAGGUGCCAUUUCACUGCAUCCUCCCAACAAUCGUGAGAGGCAGGUCCCAGGUUGUGAGGAUGACUGUUCGACGGAUGAGGUGAUGUGGCCACACGGAGGCCACACAGGAGCUGAGGUCACAUGGCUGUCAAACCUAUGCCCCCAGCCACCAUCAGAAUCCCAGCAUGCAGCCUACGCCCCUCCACAGGAAUGGCUCCAGCUGCCUCAAGGUUACGACGCAGAAAAACAAGUGGGUUAAGGUUUUGGGUACCAGCUUCUGAUUGGGGCUCUGCCUCUGACUUACAAGGCCCAACACUUUGAGCCUCAGGUCCCUCAUUGGCCUAGUGCUGGUGCUGGGUGAGAGGACAUCCCGAAGUCCCCUCCUCGGAUCCGCAACACGUGGGACCUGGCAGUGAAGUGUGAGAAUGAAACGCGCACCUCAGCUGAUGGGCCUCGGCCCGAGAGCAGAGGAGCCCCUAGUGCUGAGCAGACAGCCUGGCCCUGGGCCCACCCAGCCUGCGUGCUGCCCGGCGCUCGCUCACCCCCUCGCCCGUCUUCAUCCUCGAGCAGCUGCUCCUGGAGGUGCUGCCUGUGGCCCGACUGUGUUCCAAUCACACUGGCGCUAGGGAUCCAGAGGGACCACCGAGUGGGCCCAUUCCAGGUGAGCAGCUCCUAGCGGCAACCCAAGGGCUGGGGACAGGCUCCCAUUGGCAUGUGUGACUGUGCUUCCCCUGAGCAAGGCUUGGCUAAGGAGCAUGAGCAUAAGUUCUAGGAGACAGGAGGUGCCAAGAUGCUGGACUCCUCAGCACUGUCCCUGCUUCCCUGCCAGGCCACGGGGAUGUUAACCUUCCCCACUGAGGGCCACGCAGGCCCUUGCAGAGCAUGUUCCACAUGGGGGAACUGAGACCGUGGGAGCUAGAAGACAUGGAAAAGACGAGGGCGAGGGAAAACAAACUUCAUCAGGGCUAAGAUUGUGGACAAAUGGAAGAUUGUGAGCUCUCUGUGCAGCAUAUCGAAAGGAAACAGUGCAACAUUCUAGCAAUAAAAAGAAAUUAGGUCAGUCUAGGGGAGACAGACUCGCCAGCAAGCACUACAGUGUACCUGGAUGGGUGCUCUAGCCAUGGAGGGGGCAGAGGUGAAGGGCAGAGGCCAUGGCGGUGGGUGGUUCUGCUGAGAAGAGGGGACAGGGCGGCGCCGUCAGCACCUCGGACAGCACACAGUGGAAGAGAGUGGGCCGAAAAGGCUUGGGUGGGAAAACCACAAAAGCCAUUUGGGAAUAGUAUUAAAACGUUCUCAUUAAACGAAAUAUCACACUAUUCCUUAAUGUCACAGUACUACCUUCUUUUUUACCUUUUUUUCUGAUUCUGGGGCCUUCCCAAUGAGGAGUAUCACCAUCAAGCCAAGUCUGCACUGACCAAGAGGGCACCAAUGGGAGCCGGAGAGCCUGGGUCAUGCCUCCAGAGACACCACCUGCCUCUGGACCCCUGGGCAAGAGACUGUGCACUUCUGGACCUUAGCUUCCCAUCCAGAGAAUAAGAAGGCUAGAUUUGGAUGAUUUCCCAAAUCCCUCCAACUCCGUGAUGCUACAGCGUCUGUGCCCAUCGUUUGCACGGGGUGGGAGAGGCACGAACAGUUUGCUCUCAGCCAAAACUGCCUCCCACAGGAAGGAAGAGACAAAUUAUCUGCUUCUAGGGAAUUGUGGGGUCCCUCCUGCUUAACAUGAGGAAGAAUAUUUAAAAUGUGGACUUAUUUGCUUUAUGUUGGUGGUGGGGCACUGAUCUCACAUUCUUGGAAUUUCUGGACAUAUUGAUGGGGACAGGUAAGCACCUGAGUAAGAGGAAUUGUAUAAAGAUAGGAAAUUGGUCAGACUGGUCAUUUUAGGUCUCUCCUGGUUCUCAGUUUCUAUCACUCUCCUUGCCCCGUUUCCAAGGACACAGUAUGCUUUAGCCAGCAACUUUCAGCAAGAAAACCAUUUUCCCUUCUCCUACAAUUUACCAGUUACUUAGCGAGAACCAUGGUACAAAAUGAACAAAGUAGGAUCUCAAAAAGUGAGGGGCCUUCAGCUUGAUCACAUCACUGGGCACUGAAACAGCUCAUCCAUCAAGAUAUCUCCAAGUACGGAGCAGUUUUGGUGUUUCUACGCUAUGCAGGGAGGGUAGGAUCAGAUCUCGAUGCUUGAAUUUGUCGUAUAAGCAAAGAGAAGAUGUGGAAGGAUUUUAACAAGGGAAUGACGUUGUCAAAUUUGCAAUCCAGAAACGACUUGGGAGCAGCACGUAGGAUGGAUCUGGAAGCCCUGGUGAAGAACAGCUAUAAACCAGAGACUUCCAGUUUUACAGUGGGAAAGUAAAGAUGGAGGUUCUCCCCUUGUCCUCUCAGGAACUCCCCAAAAGCACAGCAGAAAAUAAGAAAUAAAAAUGUAAACUCUAUUAUCUACAAACUGAGGUGUGGCAGUGCAGGACGGAGGACAAGACCGGCUGUCUGCGAACGCAGGUCUCCAGAGCACAGCUCUGAAGAAAUCACCUGCGCGCCCCGCGAGACACACCGACAAUGCCUGGCGUGAAGCGGUGAGGUCAGGUGAGAGCGGGCAUCACAAGACUCCUUGAACCGAGACGGGCACCCGAUACCAAGGAAGAGGGGGCACAAGCGGAGCUAGCAGCCGGUCACACAGGGUCUGCGGCUGUAGGAAGUAGCCUGGUUCUGAGGAGGAAUAUGGUGCAUGCUGUGGCCUUCUUGUGGGUGUGCAUGAAAAGAAUGCAUUCAUAUCGACACCCCUGCAUCACAGGAGAAUUCCGAGGAGCCCGGAGCCCACCUGUCUACCCUCUACAAAGGUCUCUUAAAAACAGUCGAGAAAUACUUCACUUGGACAAAGAUGAGUCGUCAUCAGACAGACCAAACGAAUCUCUCCAAUGGCGCUACUGAAAACAAUUUAGAAAGUGAGGUAACAGGAGGACCGACAGUUGAAUACAAGCCCCUCCCCCACUGAAAAUCUGGCCGUCAACUGGAUUCGAAUCCCGACCUAAGAGAGCCCUGUAACUGACGAAAACACGGAUGGUGAAGACGGUGAAGCAAUUAGUUUGAAACAGAGAUGAAACACAAAUUAGAGACACAAUAACUCAGAAAAUAUAUUUUCAGAUUUUAAAAAAAGGAAAAGAGACCUGACCUUAUAGAACCAUGGUAGGAAGUGAAAGAAGAAAAUACAGAACUGAAGGGGAGUUGGGGGGGCACACGAGCGCGACUGCACGUCUCUGCAAAUAUGUAGCUGGAUGGAGGGUCAGGAGCUUUUUUUCCACAUUCAGAGAUGGAGAAACUCAACAACAUUUUAAAAGUCGAAUUUUCCUAUUUUUAUAUCUAUUUAUCUACCUCAAUAAAGGAAACCAACAGAUUUUUGUGAAGUAGAAAAAUGGAUUCAGGCAGAGUAAAUGCAAACCCCUCAGACUUGUAUGAGGACUCUCCGCCUCAUGCUCAGCUUCCUUGGGGCCCCCCCACCCUGGGCCUGGGCACCCUCUGUCUGGAAUGCUCUUCCCAGAGGUGUGCGUGGCCUGCUUCCUCCACCCCGGACCCCUUACCUUGGCUCACCAUUUCUCCACUGCGUUUAAUAUCUUAGGAACUAUUCAUAUUCAUCUGCUAGGGCUGCCCUAACAAAACACCACAGACUGGGGGCGCUUGCACAGCAGGAAUCUAUUUCUCACAAUUCUGUAAGUCAGAAAUCCAAGAUCAAGGAGUCAUGGGGUUGGCUUCUCAGGGGCCUCUCUUUGCAUCUUGCUGGGGCCACUGUCUCCUGGUGUCCCCAUGGGAUCUGUCAUCUGUGUGCACAGAUUCCGUCGUGUGUCCAGAGUUCCUCUUGUUGAAAAGACACUGGAUCGGGGCCCACUCGACUAGCUUCAUUUUACCGUGAUCACCUCCCGAAAGGCUCAUCUCCAAAUACAGGUCUAGGACUUCAACCUCUGAAUUCUGGGGGUCACUUUUCAGCCCCUAACUAUUUUAUAAUUUCCUCAUCUAUUUUCUUUUUUUAUUCCUUUCUCUCUGGCAGACACUGGAUGUAAGCUCUGUCCUGGAAGGGAUUUUUGUCUUGUUAUCUGCUGUCUCCCCAGUGCCUAGAACGGUGUUUGGAAUAUAGAAUAAACUAGAAGCACAAUAAAUGCUUGUUG
Non-coding RNA from Manis javanica (Malayan pangolin), 7204 nucleotides. The record is from RefSeq and is a predicted model, not a curated record. NCBI's taxonomy places the organism in Eukaryota, Metazoa, Chordata, Mammalia, Pholidota, Manidae.